UCAGAGUACCAGUCCCCAACAUGUGAUUUGUGAAGAAUUUGUUGACUCCAAAACUUGUGAAACUGUUCAAACUCAAAGCAAACUGAAGUACUGAAACUGAGGGAAAUGUGGGAGUGCUGCCGGAUGUUCCCACAGUGUGUUAUUGUGGUCUUCACAGCUGCCAGUGAAGAGGACUGUUGGUGCAAAAAUGCUAAGCUCUCUCCUCGCGCUACAUUGCAAAGCAGUAUGGCACUGCCAGAAGCCAGUCAGAGUUGAUGCUUGGCCUUGUGACAAGGAGAAGAGACAGUAGUGGGAAAAGUACUCCGAUCAUACCAGAGAAGAGGAGGCUUGGAGGAGACAUUAUUGCUCUCUACAACUGCCUGAAAGGAGGCUGUGGCAAGGUGAGGGUCAGUCUCUUCUCCCAUAUUAACUACUGAUAGAUGAGAGAGAAUCUAUCAAGUUGCACCAGGGGAGGGUCAGGUUGGAUAUUAGAAAAUAUUUAUUCUCCAGAAGAGUGGUCAGGCACUGCAAUGCGCUGCCUGGGGAGGUGGUUGAAUCACCAUCCCUGGAGGAGUACAAGAAAAGUUUAGGUGUGGUACUAAGUGGUUUUGUGGUGGAAGGUGGAAGGUUGGACUGGAUGAUCUUGGAGGUCUUUUCCAACCUUGGUGAUUCUAUGAUUCUAUUAUACUGGGUCUGGGUUGAAGUAUUUUCUGCCCUUUGAUUAGUAACAGUGUUUGCAAACCAUUGGUAUGUCUCAUAGCAUGUGAAAUUAUGAUGAUUAGCAGCAUAGUCAUUAUAUGAUCUCAAUACAUUCAAUGCCUAUUGAACUUAGUAGGAAAAAAUCUUGCUUUAGUUGCAGACCAAUAUAUUCUUAGGUUAGGUAUGGCUCUAAAAUAUACAGUAGAAUAAAAGUGUGUGACAGCCAUGCUUGAAAUUGUUG
Molecule: long non-coding RNA, 919 nt
Filed under: Phasianus colchicus (ring-necked pheasant)
Lineage: Eukaryota; Metazoa; Chordata; Aves; Galliformes; Phasianidae
Description: lncRNA (ENSPCLG00000011378.1)
Source: RNAcentral